UGAGAUUUCAGAUUUUGGUGUUAGUAUGCAUCUGAAUAUUAAGCUCAUAAGUUAAUGUUUACCAAGAUUUGAUCCUACAGCGUCAAAACUUCAGCUGGGCAAAAGAGAACUUCUAAAAGAGGAGAUGUCAAAGGUUAUUUGAAACUGAGAAAAAGGCUGAAGUCAUAUUGGAUGAAAGAGUGAUAGACAAGAUGCAUCCUGGAGGCAAAUCUAAAAGAAAUGGUUGG
Long non-coding RNA from Papaver somniferum (opium poppy), 227 nucleotides. RefSeq lists it as uncharacterized. NCBI's taxonomy places the organism in Eukaryota, Viridiplantae, Streptophyta, Magnoliopsida, Ranunculales, Papaveraceae. The record is from RefSeq and is a predicted model, not a curated record. The transcript is spliced from 3 exons.